UACAUGCACGUUGCUGUACGAUGUCAACAACUUAGAGGCCAGACUCUGUCGGUAAUUGCUACAAGCGCACUGUUUACUAACCGCUCAACACAGCCAUGAAUAAUAUGAUUAAGAAAUGUCUUGGAGCUGUAGGAAAACCAUUGACAUUGGCGUGUCAGAAAUACGCUAAUCAAUUCUCCAUUGCCACCUUCUUCACUUCGGCUAACAGGUGCCUUUUGUGUGGAGAUCGUCUCAACCCUGAUCGUUCAUGUCAGGACACACCUGUCAACAAGAAUUGCCGGAGUAUGUCAGCAUUCGCAGGAAAACAGCAAGAAUUCUUAUUUAGACAGCUGCUUGACUACAAGUCAUUUACUUACACAUACUUGCUAGCAGACACUACAACUAAUGAGGCGGUUAUAAUCGACCCUGUCAUCGAAAUGGUGGAAAGAGACUGCCAAAUUGUCAAAGACCUCGGCCUCAAUCUGGUUUAUGCAGUGAACACCCAUGUACAUGCAGACCAUAUAACGGGGACAGGGGAGAUCAAGAAACGACUGCCAACAUGUAAGAGCAUGAUAGCACAGAUCAGCAAAGCUGUUGCUGAUAUCAAGCUGAAGGAGGGAGAUGUCAUAAAGUUUGGUUCCCAUCAGUUGGAGGUCCGCAGCACACCCGGACACACUGAUGGAUGCUUGACCUACGUGUGGCAGCAGCAAGGCCUGGCCUUUACAGGAGAUGCUAUACUCGUCAGAGGAUGUGGGCGCACAGACUUCCAGCAAGGUCAUAUUGUCACAUCUCAUGUGGGAUCCAAGCGUGUUGUAUGAUUCAGUACACAACAAGAUCUUUUCACUUCCGGACAAUUUCCGUCUCUUCCCAGCACAUGACUAUACAGGUCAGACAAUGACUACAGUUGCAGAGGAGCGCAAGUACAACCCUCGCCUCACAAAACCUAAGGAACAUUUCAUCAAAAUAAUGGAGGACCUCAAGCUGCCCUACCCUAAACAGAUAG
This 982-nucleotide unclassified non-coding RNA is filed under the name Haliotis rubra (blacklip abalone). RNAcentral describes it as "persulfide dioxygenase ETHE1, mitochondrial-like, transcript variant X1". The record is from RNAcentral. Lineage: Eukaryota; Metazoa; Mollusca; Gastropoda; Lepetellida; Haliotidae.